GAGAGGUGCUGCAUGGCUGUCGUCAGCUCGUGUUGUGAAAUGUUGGGUUAAGUCUCGCAACGAGCGCAACCCCUAUCGUCUGUUGCCAGCAUUAAGUUGGGCACUCUGACGAGACUGCCUGGGUUAACCAGGAGGAAGGUGGGAAUGACGUCAAGUCCUCAUGGCCCUUAUGUCUAGGGCUACACACGUAAUACAAUGGCGCGUACAAUGGGAAGCGAACUAGUGAUAGGGAGCAAAUCUCAAAAAGCGCGCCUCAGUUCGGACUGGAGUCUGCAACUCGACUCCAUGAAGUUGGAAUCGCUAGUA
Molecule: ribosomal RNA, 306 nt
Filed under: uncultured Peredibacter sp.
Lineage: Bacteria; Pseudomonadati; Bdellovibrionota; Bacteriovoracia; Bacteriovoracales; Bacteriovoracaceae
Description: bacterial SSU rRNA
Rfam family: Bacterial small subunit ribosomal RNA
Source: RNAcentral